UUCACAUGAUGUUAAAACAAUAUUGCUACUUCAGACAGUGAUCUACACUGGAUGAGACUUUUUACACCAAGAUCUCUGAUAUA
RNAcentral lists this small nucleolar RNA (83 nucleotides) under Komagataella phaffii GS115. Its description in RNAcentral is "small nucleolar RNA SNORD24". It matches the Rfam family "Small nucleolar RNA SNORD24". Rfam says of the family: U24 is a member of the C/D class of snoRNA which contain the C (UGAUGA) and D (CUGA) box motifs. The record is from Rfam by way of RNAcentral. Lineage: Eukaryota; Fungi; Ascomycota; Pichiomycetes; Pichiales; Pichiaceae.